This 551-nucleotide ribosomal RNA is filed under the name uncultured bacterium. RNAcentral's name for it is "bacterial SSU rRNA". It matches the Rfam family "Bacterial small subunit ribosomal RNA", at positions 777 to 1322 of the family's 1533-position model. The record is from RNAcentral.
AAUAGAUACCCUGGUAGUCCACGCCGUAAACGUUGGGCACUAGGUGUGGGUUCCAACCAACGGAAUCCGUGCCGCAGCUAACGCAUUAAGUGCCCCGCCCGGGGAGUACGGCCGCAAGGCUAAAACUCAAAGGAAUUGACGGGGGGCCCGCACGAAGCGGCGGAGCAUGUUGCUUAAUUCGAGGCAACGCGAAGAACCUUACCUGGGUUUGACAUUCUGGGAAAAGCCGUAGAGAUACGGUGUCCGAAAGGGUCCAGAACAGGUGGUGCAUGGCUGUCGUCAGCUCGUGUCGUGAGAUGUUGGGUUAAGUCCCGCAACGAGCGCAACCCUUGUCCUAUGUUGCCAGCACGUAAUGGUGGGGACUCGGUAGGAGACUGCCGGGGUCAACUCGGAGGAAGGUUGGGGACGACGUCAAGUCAUCAUGCCCCUUAUGUCCAGGGCUGCAAACAUGCUACAAUGGCCGGUACAAAGGGCUGCUAUACCGCGAGGUUGAGCGAAUCCCAAAAAAGCCGGUCUACAGUUCGGAUUGGAGUCUGCAACUCGACUCCAUG